RNAcentral lists this ribosomal RNA (519 nucleotides) under uncultured marine bacterium. RNAcentral's name for it is "bacterial SSU rRNA". It matches the Rfam family "Bacterial small subunit ribosomal RNA", at positions 8 to 571 of the family's 1533-position model. The record is from RNAcentral.
AGAGUUUGAUCAUGGCUCAGAACGUACGCUGGCGGCACGCCUUAUACAUGCAAGUCGAACGAAGUAGCAAUACUUAGUGGCAGACGGGUGAGUAGCAUGUGGGUAUCUUCCCUUUGGUGAGGAAUAACAAGAGGAAACUUUUGCUAAUACCUCAUAAGUCUUUACGGAGAAAGCUUUAUGCGCCAAUGGAUGAGCCCGCACUCGAUUAGUUUGUUGGUGGGGUAAUGGCCUACCAAGACUUUGAUCAAUAGCUGAUUUGAGAGGAUGAUCAGCCACAUUGGGACUGAGACACGGCCCAAACUCCUACGGGAGGCAGCAGUAGGGAAUCUUGCACAAUGGAGGAAACUCUGAUGCAGCGAUGCCGCGUGAGUGAAGAAGGCCUUUGGGUUGUAAAGCUCUUUCGUCGGGGAAGAAAAUGACUGUACCCGAAUAAGAAGGUCCGGCUAACUUCGUGCCAGCAGCCGCGGGUAAUACGAAGGGACCUAGCGUAGUUCGGAAUUACUGGGCUUAAAGAGUUCG